GCCAGGGUGACAAAGUGGUUUGAGCAUUGGACUGAAACUCUAGAGACUAGGGUUCGAAUCCCAGCUACACCA
This is a non-coding RNA of Phrynosoma platyrhinos (Desert horned lizard), 72 nucleotides long. The record is from the annotation of a GenBank genome assembly. NCBI's taxonomy places the organism in Eukaryota, Metazoa, Chordata, Lepidosauria, Squamata, Phrynosomatidae.